This 1061-nucleotide ribosomal RNA is filed under the name Mycobacterium tuberculosis. Its description in RNAcentral is "bacterial LSU rRNA". It matches the Rfam family "Bacterial large subunit ribosomal RNA", at positions 1856 to 2925 of the family's 2925-position model. Lineage: Bacteria; Bacillati; Actinomycetota; Actinomycetes; Mycobacteriales; Mycobacteriaceae. The record is from RNAcentral.
CGCCUGCCCGGUGCUGGAAGGUUAAGAGGACCCGUUAACCCGCAAGGGUGAAGCGGAGAAUUUAAGCCCCAGUAAACGGCGGUGGUAACUAUAACCAUCCUAAGGUAGCGAAAUUCCUUGUCGGGUAAGUUCCGACCUGCACGAAUGGCGUAACGACUUCUCAACUGUCUCAACCAUAGACUCGGCGAAAUUGCACUACGAGUAAAGAUGCUCGUUACGCGCGGCAGGACGAAAAGACCCCGGGACCUUCACUACAACUUGGUAUUGAUGUUCGGUACGGUUUGUGUAGGAUAGGUGGGAGACUGUGAAACCUCGACGCCAGUUGGGGCGGAGUCGUUGUUGAAAUACCACUCUGAUCGUAUUGGGCAUCUAACCUCGAACCCUGAAUCGGGUUUAGGGACAGUGCCUGGCGGGUAGUUUAACUGGGGCGGUUGCCUCCUAAAAUGUAACGGAGGCGCCCAAAGGUUCCCUCAACCUGGACGGCAAUCAGGUGGCGAGUGUAAAUGCACAAGGGAGCUUGACUGCGAGACUUACAAGUCAAGCAGGGACGAAAGUCGGGAUUAGUGAUCCGGCACCCCCGAGUGGAAGGGGNAAAAGCUACCCUGGGGAUAACAGGCUGAUCUUCCCCAAGAGUCCAUAUCGACGGGAUGGUUUGGCACCUCGAUGUCGGCUCGUCGCAUCCUGGGGCUGGAGCAGGUCCCAAGGGUUGGGCUGUUCGCCCAUUAAAGCGGCACGCGAGCUGGGUUUAGAACGUCGUGAGACAGUUCGGUCUCUAUCCGCCGCGCGCGUCAGAAACUUGAGGAAACCUGUCCCUAGUACGAGAGGACCGGGACGGACGAACCUCUGGUGCACCAGUUGUCCCGCCAGGGGCACCGCUGGAUAGCCACGUUCGGUCAGGAUAACCGCUGAAAGCAUCUAAGCGGGAAACCUUCUCCAAGAUCAGGUUUCUCACCCACUUGGUGGGAUAAGGCCCCCCGCAGAACACGGGUUCAAUAGGUCAGACCUGGAAGCUCAGUAAUGGGUGUAGGGAACUGGUGCUAACCGGCCGAAAACUUACAACA